This 351-nucleotide ribosomal RNA is filed under the name Tomopisthes puconensis. RNAcentral describes it as "partial 16S ribosomal RNA". The record is from RNAcentral. Lineage: Eukaryota; Metazoa; Arthropoda; Arachnida; Araneae; Anyphaenidae.
UUGUCUUUUAAUUGAAGACUAGAACAAAAGAUUGAACAAUUUAAUUAAUAUAUAAAUAUUCAAAUUUAUUUUAUAAGUUAAAAAACUUUUAUAUAUAAGGAAGACGACAAGACCCUAUUAAACUUAACUUAAGUUCAACUGGGGCAGUUAAUCAAUUAUCAUUUUAAUAAAAAUAUAAAAAUUAAUGAUCCAAUAAAAUUGAUUAUAUGAUCAAGUUACUAUAGGGAUAACAGCGUAAUAUUAAUCUAAAGAUCUUAUUUAAAUAAAAGUUUGCGACCUCGAUGUUGAAUUAAUAACCUAAUUAUUGUAACAAAUAAAUAAAGGAAGCCGUUCGACUAUUGAAAAAUUACA